Molecule: non-coding RNA, 2952 nt
Organism: Heterocephalus glaber (naked mole-rat)
Lineage: Eukaryota; Metazoa; Chordata; Mammalia; Rodentia; Bathyergidae
Source: RefSeq, a predicted model, not a curated record
AGAUGAGUUUCUGGUGGUCCCACCUGCUUGCAAGUAAAGGUUUUGUUUUUUUACCCAAAUUCUGUGUCUCCAUUCAUUUCUUUCUGUGAUUCUGGAACAUUUGGUUCCCUGAGUAGAAAUCAGGAAAGAAGUGGCCCUUUUGGGCAUCAGCCUGAACUCCACCAGAGGGAGUGGCUCUCCGUCUCCUUGAGAGGAAAGGCAUGCCCCUGGGACUAAUUUCCUAGGCUCCCCGACAGGACACAGAGAUCCACUCACCAGUUUCAGAUUGCCCAAACCCAAGAUCGAAGAUGACAGAAGGAGGGCUGCUGCUGUUGGUGUCUCCUCUAUCUCUUUCCCGGCUGGAAAGAACCUGUGGUAACUAGCAAAUGGAAGAACAGUACAAAAUUUGUUCAAGAAACCUACAGUAAUUUUUCCUCACAAGAAAAAGGAACAUUUCUCAAGAAUCUAUGUGAGAGCAGAAAUAUUACAACCAAGGAAACUGAAGAAAUGAGGCUGUGUUCCAAUUUAUUUAAUCUUGCAAAAAUUUCCAGAGAAAUGAUGCAGACAAUUAUUUGAGGUUUGAAGAGAUACUGUAUAAAUGUAGUGAACUUGGAAAAACCUGAAGUGAUUUCCAGUCCUUUCAGAAACAUAAAAUGAGAAAGACUAGAGAGAAACUGUCAAUAUAAAAAGCAUGGGAAAGCCUACUCUGAUCUUAAUGAACAAACUCACCCUGGAGAGAAAAUGUUUCUAGGUAAGAAAAAUGUGAAAGCCUCCAGCACACCAGUCAUGUUCAAAUUCAGGAAAGCAAUCAUCAGGUGGGGAGUACACGUGGCUAAAACAAUGUGAAAAAAUUUUUAUGACUUCAUACUAUUUUCAGGUAAAUGAAAGAAUACAUGCGGAGAGAAGCCCUAUGUAACUAAGUUUGUAUGAAAGCAUUAUCUCAUAGUCAUUCCUUUCACAAACAUAAGAUAAUAUACACUGGGCAGAAACUUUAUAUAUGUAAGCAAUGUAAAAAAGCAUUCGCUACAUGGACUUGUUAUGAAAUACAUGAAUCAAAUCAUACUAGACAUAAAUCUUAUGUAUGUAAACACUGUGGGAAAGCAUUCAGUACACACAGCAUCAUAGUCAUGAAGGAACUCAUAUGAGGAAGAAACCCUAUGUAUGUAUGCAAUGUGUAAAAGGAUUUGCUGAGAAGUCCUCAUUCAAAAGACAUAGAGGAUCUCACACUGGGGAGAAACCCUAUGUAUGUAAGCAUUGUGGGAAAUCUUUCACUCAAAAGAGAUAUUGUUAAAUACCUGAAAGAAUUCACACUGGGGAGAAACCCCAUAUAUGUAAGCAAUGUGGGAAAGCAUUCAGACCACAGUCUCUGUCAAAGUCAUGAAAGAACUCACACCGUGGAGAAAUGGUACAUAUGCAAGUUUUGUGGGAAAUCUUUCAACUGAAAGAAUGUUUCUCAAAAACAUGAAAGAAUUCAUACUAAUUAGAAACCCUAUAUAUGUAACCAUUGUGGGAAAUCUUUCACCCAAAAGAGAUAUUGUCAAAUUUAUGAAAGAAUUCACAAUGGGGGAAAUCCCUAUGUGUGUUAGCAUUGUGGGAAAUCUUUCAACCAAAAAAAGAGAUCAUCAAAUACAUAAAAGAAUUCACACAGGUGAGAAAGUUAAUGUAUGUAAACAUUGUUGGACUGCGUUCAGCACAUUCAGUCAUUGCCACAUAUGAAAGCAUUCACACUAUGGGAAUCCUAUGUAUGUAAAUGAUGCAGGAACACAUACCCUACACAAAAGUAUUUUCAAACACAUGAAAGAAGUCAUAAUGAGGAGAAACAAUGUGUAUCGGUAAUGUGGGAAAUCUUCAGCCAACAGAAUACUGGUGAACACAUGAAUAAAUUCACACUGGGAAGAAACCCUGUGUAUGAUAGUAAUGUGAGGAAGCACUCAGUACACAAAAGUGCCAUGAAAUAUGUGAAAGAAGGCAUACUGUGCCAAAGUAUGUAUGUAGGCAGUGUGGGAAAAGAUUUGAAGCAAUCUCUUCAUCUUAUAGACAAAAAAUUCACACCAGGGAGUAAUUAUGUAAGACAGGUGUAAAAAGUUCAUCUAAUCCAGUGUCAAAUACAUGAACAGGAUACCACUAGUGAAAAAGCCUAUGUAAGCAAUGUAGGAAAGCAUUCGGCAUACACAGGUACUAUUAAAUACAUGAAAGAAGUCACAUGGGGAAGAAAGCCUACAUAUGUGUGGGGUGUGUGUGUGUGUGUAAACCAAAUAUAUAUAUAUGUAUAUGUUGAAAAUUCUGUGAAAAUUACUCAUAUAAUGGAGAACUGUAGAAAUAAUAUGAAUAAUAUGAAAAUUAUGAUGUCAAUAUUUCUUCAUUAAUUUUCUGGAAAAUAUACUCUCAGAUGGAAAUAGCCUGAAGUGUAUUCAUUCUGUGUUUUUCAGUAAAUUACUUAUAAAUGUCUGAUGUAUGUAUCUGUGGUCUUUAUUAUGAAAAAAAUUAGGUUGACAUAAUUAUAUAUUUUUGCGUAUGCCAAUGUCUGAACUUAACAUAUAGUGUCUCCUAAUUAAACAAGGUGAAAUGAAGUGUAUUUUUCACUUCCAAGUAGAGUUGGUAUUUAUGUAGUGUUUAUUUUAUUUUGUUUUUACAUUUGGGAGGAAUAAAGCAUGGAAAAGCAAAUUUUGGUAAUUUUUAUUUUUUUUUAUUUAUUUUUUUGGUACCGGGGAUCGAACUCGGGUCCUUGUGCUUGUGCAGCAGGCAGCAAAACCACUGAACUAAAUCCCUGGCCUGGGAAUUUCUUUUUAAUUGUGAUUUCCCACUAGCUUUGAUUUGAAUUUUGUUGUUGUGUACACUCCAUAUUCUGUAUAACAAGGUAUUUUUGUAUUUGAUGUUAUUUUAUAUUUUAUAUUUCAUGGAGAGUGGCUUGUGAAUGCGUUUUUGAGAAAGGUUAAUUGUUUUCACACAGUGUGUAUAUUAGCAAUAUUGUGU